This 254-nucleotide ribosomal RNA is filed under the name uncultured bacterium. Its description in RNAcentral is "partial 16S ribosomal RNA". It matches the Rfam family "Bacterial small subunit ribosomal RNA", at positions 524 to 776 of the family's 1533-position model. The record is from RNAcentral.
UACGUAGGGUGCAAGCGUUAAUCGGAAUUACUGGGCGUAAAGCGCGCGCAGGCGGCCCCGCGAGGUGUCACGUGAAAGCCCCGGGCUCAACCCGGGAGGGUCGUGGCAAACCGGCGGGCUUGAGGCCGGUAGAGGUGGGUGGAACUCCUGGUGGAGUGGUGAAAUGCGUAGAGAUCAGGAAGAACACCCGUGGCGAAGGCGGCCCACUGGGCCGGUACUGACGCUGAGGCGCGAAGGCGUGGGGAGCGAACGGG